RNAcentral lists this ribosomal RNA (253 nucleotides) under uncultured bacterium. RNAcentral describes it as "partial 16S ribosomal RNA". It matches the Rfam family "Bacterial small subunit ribosomal RNA", at positions 524 to 776 of the family's 1533-position model. The record is from RNAcentral.
CACGUAGGGCGCGAGCGUUGUCCGGAAUUAUUGGGCGUAAAGAGCUCGUAGGCGGCCUGUUGCGUCCGCUGUGAAAGCCCGGGGCUUAACCCCGGGUCUGCAGUGGAUACGGGCAGGCUAGAGGUAGGCAGGGGAGAAUGGAAUUCCCGGUGUAGCGGUGAAAUGCGCAGAUAUCAGGAAGAACACCCGUGGCGAAGGCGGCUCUCUGGUACGUGACUGACGCUGAGACGCGAAAGCGUGGGGAGCAAACAGG